GGGACACGUGGUAUCCUGUCUGAAUAUGGGGGGACCAUCCUCCAAGGCUAAAUACUCCUGACUGACCGAUAGUGAACCAGUACCGUGAGGGAAAGGCGAAAAGAACCCCGGCGAGGGGAGUGAAAAAGAACCUGAAACCGUGUACGUACAAGCAGUGGGAGCAUGCUUAGGCGUGUGACUGCGUACCUUUUGUAUAAUGGGUCAGCGACUUAUAUUCUGUAGCAAGGUUAACCGAAUAGGGGAGCCGAAGGGAAACCGAGUCUUAACUGGGCGUUAAGUUGCAGGGUAUAGACCCGAAACCCGGUGAUCUAGCCAUGGGCAGGUUGAAGGUUGGGUAACACUAACUGGAGGACCGAACCGACUAAUGUUGAAAAAUUAGCGGAUGACUUGUGGCUGGGGGUGAAAGGCCAAUCAAACCGGGAGAUAGCUGGUUCUCCCCGAAAGCUAUUUAGGUAGCGCCUCGUGAACUCAUCUCCGGGGGUAGAGCACUGUUUCGGCAAGGGGGUCAUCCCGACUUACCAACCCGAUGCAAACUGCGAAUACCGGAGAAUGUUAUCACGGGAGACACACGGCGGGUGCUAACGUCCGUCGUGAAGAGGGAAACAACCCAGACCGCCAGCUAAGGUCCCAAAGUCAUGGUUAAGUGGGAAACGAUGUGGGAAGGCCCAGACAGCCAGGAUGUUGGCUUAGAAGCAGCCAUCAUUUAAAGAAAGCGUAAUAGCUCACUGGUCGAGUCGGCCUGCGCGGAAGAUGUAACGGGGCUAAACCAUGCACCGAAGCUGCGGCAGCGACGCUUAUGCGUUGUUGGGUAGGGGAGCGU
RNAcentral lists this ribosomal RNA (820 nucleotides) under Escherichia coli. Its description in RNAcentral is "partial 23S ribosomal RNA". It matches the Rfam family "Bacterial large subunit ribosomal RNA", at positions 419 to 1239 of the family's 2925-position model. Lineage: Bacteria; Pseudomonadati; Pseudomonadota; Gammaproteobacteria; Enterobacterales; Enterobacteriaceae. The record is from RNAcentral.